This 253-nucleotide ribosomal RNA is filed under the name uncultured bacterium. RNAcentral describes it as "partial 16S ribosomal RNA". It matches the Rfam family "Bacterial small subunit ribosomal RNA", at positions 524 to 776 of the family's 1533-position model. The record is from RNAcentral.
UACGGGGGGGGCAAGCGUUGUUCGGAAUUACUGGGCGUAAAGGGCUCGUAGGCGGUUUGUCGCGUCGGGAGUGAAAACGCCGUGCUUAACACGGCGCUUGCUUUCGAUACGGGCAGACUAGAGGUAUGCAGGGGAGAACGGAAUUCCUGGUGUAGCGGUGAAAUGCGCAGAUAUCAGGAGGAACACCGGUGGCGAAGGCGGUUCUCUGGGCAUUACCUGACGCUGAGGAGCGAAAGUGUGGGGAGCGAACAGG